UACGUAGGGUGCAAGCGUUGUCCGGAAUUAUUGGGCGUAAAGAGCUCGUAGGCGGUUUGUCGCGUCUGCUGUGAAAACGCGAGGCUCAACCUCGCGCCUGCAGUGGGUACGGGCAGACUAGAGUUCGGCAGGGGAGACUGGAAUUCCUGGUGUAGCGGUGAAAUGCGCAGAUAUCAGGAGGAACACCGGUGGCGAAGGCGGGUCUCUGGGCCGAUACUGACGCUGAGGAGCGAAAGCGUGGGGAGCGAACAGG
This 253-nucleotide ribosomal RNA is filed under the name uncultured bacterium. Its description in RNAcentral is "partial 16S ribosomal RNA". It matches the Rfam family "Bacterial small subunit ribosomal RNA", at positions 524 to 776 of the family's 1533-position model. The record is from RNAcentral.